UAUUCACCUUUUAACCAAAAUUUUACUCCCUCCUCAACAAUUUUUUGUUUACCCCUUCGAUACAUUCUUAUCUCUUAUCUCUAUCACCACUCUCUCUAUCGUCUCGACUACCCCCUCUCGCUCUCUCUCUUGAUUCUCUCUUUCACAGCUCUCUCUGUCAAGAACACAUAUGCUAUUAGCUUUCUCUUGCUGCUCACCGCCCCGGCUUUCCUCACCGCUGCACACCUCUGCUCUUCUCACCGCUUUGCUCUACUCUCUGCCUUUACGUUUAGCUCUCUCCACUCGGCUCUCUCUCUAUUUCAGUUAAGUUUCUCUCUUCUCUUAUUAAUAUUAGAAAGUGGAAUUGAUCUUUGCUUCUUAUAAAUCGGGCCCUAGUUUUUUAAAUCAAAACCCUAGUUCUUCUUUGUUGUGUGUUGGGGUAGAUAGCGGUUAUCUAGUAAGUAUCGGUUGGGAUGCUAAUUGGGAGAUCAGUUGGUGUGGAAUGAUCUAAUGUUUAGUUUAAUUUUAUGUUGUUGACAUCCAGGUGCUAAAAAAAUUGGCGAGGAGUAGUUUUUCGGUUACAAUCUGGAUUCUGCAGACCUGGGUUAUGUUUUGUUGGCUGUUUUUAGAGUCAGGCUAUUGUAUUCUCUGUCUUACAAUAUGUUAAUUACUUUUUAUGCUGUAUUUUUAUAUGUGUUGCUUAAAUUUGUGAAGGUCUGGCCAAAUCUGAGGAUUGUGGGUGGUUCCGAUCUUUACAUUGUUAUGAAAAGUUGGUUUUUUACCAGCUAGUGCUUUUCUGGAUUAUACCAUUGUCAUAUGUUAAUUAAUGUUGCUAUCUACUGAUUUUUGUUGCAUAAUUUUGCGAGGACGUGGUAUUAUUUCAGUAUUCCUCAGAAAAAUAACUUUGGUUUUAGUUUCUUCUAUUGCUGCAAUUGUUCGAUUCCUGUUCCUGUGCCAAAGAAAGACGAGGUGUUACUCAGCGUGAAAGCAACAAGCAUUAAUCCAUUUGAUUGGAAGAUGCAGAAAGGGAUGUUGCGCCCUUUUUUGCCACUCCGGUUUCCUAAAGUGCCAUUAGGCUAUGUAGCAGGAAGUACAUAUGAGUUUUGAUUAAUAACUGCACAAAGCCAUUGGUGCAUUUCGAUCAGCUGUUGAUGGUGCUGGCUUACCUGUAGCAGGUCUUACUGCUCAUUCUGCUGGAGUUAAGCUUGAUGCUAGUGGUCCUCGAUCAAAUAUUGUCAUUACUGCUGCUUCAGGAGGUGUUGGCUUGUAUGUUGUUCAACUUGCAAAGCAUGGAAAGAAGGAAUCCCUUUCUUCUUUAGUUUUAGUGUCUUAAUAGUUUGGUAUAUUUUUGUUAAAUGAUGUAGUAAGUAACAUUGCUCGAUUUAUGUAUAUGAUUUUGUGGAUUGAAUUUAUAGAUUUGUAUUGGUGGUUUU
Molecule: long non-coding RNA, 1412 nt
Organism: Daucus carota subsp. sativus
Lineage: Eukaryota; Viridiplantae; Streptophyta; Magnoliopsida; Apiales; Apiaceae
Exons: 2
Source: RefSeq, a predicted model, not a curated record